This 478-nucleotide ribosomal RNA is filed under the name uncultured bacterium. RNAcentral describes it as "partial 16S ribosomal RNA". It matches the Rfam family "Bacterial small subunit ribosomal RNA", at positions 28 to 507 of the family's 1533-position model. The record is from RNAcentral.
GACGAACGCUGGCGGCGUGCUUAACACAUGCAAGUCGAACGGGAAGUUUGUGGAAAUUCUUUCGGGAAUGGAAAUGAAAUGAAAGUGGAGAACGGGGGAGUAACACGUGAGCAACCUACCAUACACAGGGGGAUAGCCGUUGGAAACGACGAUUAAUACCGCAUGAGACCACAGAAUCGCAAGAUAUAGGGGUUAAAGAUUUACGGGUGUAAGAAGGGCUCGCGUCUGAUUAGCUAGUUGGAAGGGGAAAGGCCUAGCAAGGCGGCGUACAGUAGCUGGGAUGGGAGGAUGAACCGUUACGUUGGAGCUGAGACACGGUCCACACUCCGACGGGAGGCAGCAGUGGAGUAUAUAGCACGCUGGAGGGAGCCCUGAUGCCGCGGCGUCGCGGAAGCGAGGAUUGUUGUCGAAUCGUAAAGCCCUGUGCUAUGAGGAGUGAGUGACGGUAACGGAUAAGGAAGCCCCGGCUAACUACGUG